GGCUGCCUUAGUCAAGUACAGAGGUGAGGUGGAGCAAGAUGGCAGAAUAGAAAGCUCCUUUGAUGGCCAUCCCCACAACACAGAAAAAGCACCUUCAUAAGAACCAGAAAUCAGUUCUGGAGGCUAGAAAUUCGAAAUCGAGAUGCCAGUAGUGUUGGUUCCUUAUGGAGACUGUGUGAAAAGGCCUGUUUUGUGCAACUUCCAAGUCAAGAUUAUGAACAUUUUCAAACUUUUUGCAAGGCAGAAUUCAAUGGGUUAACAAUCAGUUUUGUAAGUAUGUAUCUCAGUAGAGAGGUACAUGAGUUCCUAUUGAUCAAAAUAUCAAUUUAACAUACAUAAACUGUUCAAUCAAAUGCUUGA
Molecule: non-coding RNA, 360 nt
Organism: Macaca mulatta (Rhesus monkey)
Lineage: Eukaryota; Metazoa; Chordata; Mammalia; Primates; Cercopithecidae
Source: RefSeq, a predicted model, not a curated record